AGAAGGCAUUGCAGAAAGUAAAGUGCAAGUCAAAAAUACAAACGAAAAUAUAGAAAAACACGCACUAAUAGAAACAUUGGAUGUAGAAAACAAAUCGGCAACAGUCAAUGCCAAUAGCCGCCGACACUUCAAAGAUUCACAACCGACAGUGCCCCAACUACAGGAACAAGAAAACGAAGACAAUCUGAACAAUUAUCUUCUACACGGGACCAGUUUGCAGCAAUUGCUGAGUCACAUGUCCAAUCAAUGAUGAUGCUAGCUGAAGCUGCAAAAUUACAGGCAGAAGGGACAAAGCGUCAUGCCGAUGCUAUGGGUCGAUUGGCAGAAGCGAUGGAACGGCAAGCUGAUGCAGCUGUGCAAAACGCUACCAAUGAAAAAGCGAGAAUCGAAGUCAUGUCUCAGCUAGUAAAAGUACUAUCACAGAUUUUACCAACUUACCAAUAAUAGUACAGUAUAGUUUAGUGUAGUGUAGUGUAGUAUAGGACUUCAUCGUAAACAACAAACUAUUGAAC
This 512-nucleotide long non-coding RNA is filed under the name Neodiprion lecontei (redheaded pine sawfly). RNAcentral's name for it is "uncharacterized LOC124293531". Lineage: Eukaryota; Metazoa; Arthropoda; Insecta; Hymenoptera; Diprionidae. The record is from RNAcentral.